GUGUCAGCCGCCGCGGUAAAACCAGCACCUCGAGUGGUCAGGAGGUUUAUUGGGCCUAAAGCAUCCGUAGCCUGCUGUGCAAGUCUUCGGUUAAAUCCAUCUGCUCAACAGAUGGGCUGCCGGUGAUACUACAUGGCUAGGGAGUGGGAGAGGUCGAUGGUACUCGGUGGGAAGGGGUAAAAUCCUUUGAUCCAUUGAUGACCACCUGUGGCGAAGGCGGUCGACCAGAACACGUCCGACGGUGAGGGAUGAAAGCUGGGGGAGCAAACCGGAUUAGAUACCCGGGUAGUCCCAGCUGUAAACGAUGCAAACUCAGUGAUGCCUUGGCAUGUAGCCAAUGCAGUGCCGCAGGGAAGCCGUUAAGUUUGCCGCCUGGGAAGUACGUUCGCAAGAAUGAAACUUAAAGGAAUUGGCGGGGGAGCACCACAAGGGGUGAAGCCUGCGGUUCAAUUGGAGUCAACGCCAGGAACCUUACCCGGGGAGACAGCAGAAUGAAGGUCAAGCUGAAGACUUUACCAGACAAGCUGAGAGGAGCUGCAUGGCCGUCGCCAGCUCGUGCCGUGAGAUGUCCUGUUAAGUCAGGUAACGAGCGAGAUCCCUGCCUUUAGUUGCUACCAUUAUUCUCAGGAAUAGUGGGGCAAACUAGAGGGACUGCCAUCGUUAAGGUGGAGGAAGGAAGGGGCAACGGCAGGUCAGUAUGGCCCGAAACCCUGGGGCUACACGCGGGCUGCAAUGAUAGUGACAAUGAGUUUCGAAUCUGAAAGGAUGAGGUAAUCUUCNAACACUAUCUCAGUUAUGACUGAGGGCUGCAACUCGCCCUCACGAAUAUGGAAUCCCUAGUAACCGCGUGUCAUAACCGCGCAGUGAAUACGUCCCUGCUCCUUGCACACACCGCCCGUC
This 900-nucleotide ribosomal RNA is filed under the name uncultured archaeon. RNAcentral's name for it is "bacterial SSU rRNA". It matches the Rfam family "Archaeal small subunit ribosomal RNA", at positions 455 to 1354 of the family's 1478-position model. The record is from RNAcentral.